CCCCUGAAAAAACCUACGCUUCUCACCUUUCACAAAACUAGGGUUUUUCUAUCCCUAACCCAAUCAUGAGAUGACAACUCAGCAAUACUUCGUUUCGAUCUUACCAUCUACUGUCAUUGCUUACUGGUGCGGCAUCUUCAAGAUUCACAUACCGUUCAACUCUAUAGUUUCUGGGUUAUGAGAAUCUUGAUGAUGCUGCAUCGGAAAUCAAUUGACCACUUUAAAAAUCAACGCAUCAAAUACGAUUUUGUUGGAUCUCAUACAAACAAAGGUAAUCUUUAUUAUUGUUUUUAUUGCUAGUUUAUGUGGUUGAUCUAUCUGUUCAUAUUCAUUGGUGUUUUGAACAUUCCUUGUGAAGUUGAUACAUGAACAAAAGUAUAGCAGAUCUUAGGCUAUAGACGGUGAAUAUAUUGUUUCUAGCAUAAGAUUGUAACAUCUGGUAUCUCGUAUCACUAAUAUUAUCUGUAUCGAUAUUUUUUUUUUUUUGUUAUUUUGAAUGGAAACUUCUCUUGUAUGACUAAUAUCAUCUGUUUAUAACAAUUUUUUUUUGGUUGUCUAGGGAAACUUCCUAGAAGGUCAAUUACCUUAGGCUAUAGACGUUUAGUUUCUCGUUUCUAGCUUUAAGAUUGUAUUGUAUCACCAAUAUUAUUUAUCUAUACGGAUAUAGUUUUUGUUAUUUUGAAUGGAAACCUCUCUUGUAUGACCAAUAUAUCAUUUGUUUAACGGAUAUGUUUUUUGGUUGUCCAUGUAAACUUCCCAGAAGGUCAACUAUCUUAGGCUAUAGACAGCUUUAAGAUUGUAAAAUUUGGUCACUCAUUUCACCAAUAUUAUUUAUCUACAGUAGUAAAACCUCUAUAAUUUAAUAUCCGAUAAAUUAAUAACCUCGAUAAAAUUAAUAAUUUGUUCAGCCUCAACUUGGGAGCAGUACAAAAUUGGACCCCAAUCGAUAUAAGAUAAUAAUUUUUUGAAAUCCAAAUAUAAAUAUAUUGGUUCCAACGAAACUAUAAAUUAAUAAUUACUAAAAUAUUUCAAAAUUCUAGGAUUGUCUAGUAAAAAUGAAUCUAUAGUCACUUCUUUUUUUAUGAACUUCAAAUCUAUACAGAAUUCAUCUUUAAAUCUCCCUAUUGCACUUAAGAUUUGAAGCACUGUAUUCUCGUAUUGCAACAAAAAGUAGUGAAGAGUUGUUGCCGAUUGCAAGACUUCUUUCCGAGUGACCGGUUCCAAAGGUCAUUCAUCCUAGGAUCAUGGAUAUUUGAUCAUGUGGACAGAAUAUAACGAUGUGGAGUUUGUCUGUGGUGUCACAAACAUAACAGCACCAUGUAUCCAAUUACAAGAUCUGCUAAAAGAAUGUUUAUGCAACAGUAUAUCUUAUCAGGGUGUGUCUUAAUAAAGUUUUCUUUGAGUAUUUGUUAACAUGUAUGAGUCAAUAUAUAUACUGCUUUCUGUUUUCUUAAGUUAUAAGAUAUUCUGUACGGAUCAA
Long non-coding RNA from Helianthus annuus (common sunflower), 1480 nucleotides. RefSeq lists it as uncharacterized. The transcript is spliced from 2 exons. The record is from RefSeq and is a predicted model, not a curated record. Lineage: Eukaryota; Viridiplantae; Streptophyta; Magnoliopsida; Asterales; Asteraceae.